UCCAGCCCUUGCAGGUGGAAACAGCUGUGUC
This 31-nucleotide non-coding RNA is filed under the name Homo sapiens (human). Lineage: Eukaryota; Metazoa; Chordata; Mammalia; Primates; Hominidae. The record is from RNAcentral.